RNAcentral lists this transfer RNA (74 nucleotides) under Pityopus californicus. RNAcentral describes it as "tRNA-Pro". It matches the Rfam family "tRNA". From Rfam's summary of the family: Transfer RNA (tRNA) molecules are approximately 80 nucleotides in length. Their secondary structure includes four short double-helical elements and three loops (D, anti-codon, and T loops). Lineage: Eukaryota; Viridiplantae; Streptophyta; Magnoliopsida; Ericales; Ericaceae. The record is from RNAcentral.
AGGGAUGUGGCGCAGCUCGGUAGCGCGUUUGUUUUGGGUACAAAGUGUCGCGGGUUCAAAUCCUGUCAUCCCUA